This is a long non-coding RNA of Myxocyprinus asiaticus (Chinese sucker), 6285 nucleotides long. RefSeq lists it as uncharacterized. The record is from RefSeq and is a predicted model, not a curated record. Lineage: Eukaryota; Metazoa; Chordata; Actinopteri; Cypriniformes; Catostomidae. The transcript is spliced from 3 exons.
AACACCGGUAGGCAGAUGAAUUGCUCGACGGAACAGAAGUGGAGUUCACUAUCCCUGUUUCUCAACCUUGCACAUCAUCAACACUGAGACUCUUCGUUGAUCGCUUACAUGGAUCGUCACGUUCGCUGGGGUUGUGUGAGUAAAUCUGCUCUUCAGUGGGAGGGUCAUCUUCCUGCAUUACACAACUCUUGCCUUGAAACGGAGAAAAACACCGCUGGUGGAUCAAACAGACCCACAGAAAGGCCCCUACACUAAGAGGAACAGAGACAAUGUUUGACUGCAGUGAGGACUCCCCUCAUACCUCAACUCAUGCUCCUCUUGAUGCCCCCAAAACAUAUGAGCACAACUAUUGCUUUGCCAGCCCAAAGACUCUCACUGGACGGCUGCUUAAAGCAAUGAAACAAAUUAAUAAACACUCAGACAGAACCUUCAAAAAAAAACAAAAAACAAAAAACAAAACAGGAGAUACAAAAAAAUAAUUUCAAACCUUCAGAGCAUCAAGACCCUAAAGGAAUCUCAAUUGUUAAAAGAGAAUGGAGCAUUCAUGCUUGAAAAUUGCCCUGAUGUACAACUAGAAAUUCUGAAGAGAGAUCAAUUUAGUCAUGCACAAUACCACCCAGCCUUAAAAUCAUUUGCACUUACAUUGCAGUACUACUCAGCUAAGGCCUACAAGUAUGUCAGGGAGACAUUUAGCUUGGGGUUGCCUCACCCAUCCACAAUAAGAAGAUGGUACAGCAGCAUUGGAGGAGAUCCCGGAUUUAGUGAGGAAAUCCUAACUUCUCUUGAAGCCAAAGCAUCCGCUGCACAGGCUAAAGGACAGGAGACCCUCUGUGCACCAAUGAUGGACGAAAUGUCCAUCAUGAAGCACAUAGAGUGGGAUGGGACAAGAAUGAAUGAAUAUGUGGACAUUGGCACAAAAAUAGCAAAUGAAGGUAUUUCAAUGGCAACAGAAGCACUGGUACUAAUGGCUGUCUGCAUUCAUGAGCUCUGGAAAGCUCCAGUAGCAUAUUUUUAAUGCAUGGCAUGACUGGGUCAGAGAGGGCUACACUGGUGCGACAAUGCAUCCUAAAACUGUCUGAUGUUGGAGUAAGGGUGGUGUCUCUCACAUGUAAUGGUCCAUCAACACACUUUUCCAUGCUUCGGGACCUUGGCGCAGACCUGCUACCCACAGAUUUGAACCCCAUUUUCCCAUAUCCAUCAAACAGUCACUGAAGGGUCCACAUCAUCUUGGAUGUGCCAUAUGCUGAAGCUGGUAUGUAACACCUUGGGGUCCUGUGGCAUUAUUGUAGAUCCCUGUGGAAACAACAUAAAAUGGGAAUAUAUUAAAUCUUUACAUGAACUGCAAAAAGAUGAAGGGCUACAUCUAGGCAACAAAAUUAGAUCAGCUCACCUAGACUGGCAAAGUCAAAAAAUGAAGGUAAACCUUGCUGCUCAGACCCUCAGCACCAGUGUGGCAGUUGCCAUUUCACCCACUAUUGCACUUGUGUAUAUGGUUGUGUGACAAUAAAAGUGAUUUGAGAUGCCCUACGGUUCUGCGACCAACACCUGCAACUCCCCCAGUCUGCUGGAUGUGAGCUGAUGUGUAAAUUCAUUGAAACUUUUGAUCGAUUUUUUGACCUGAUGAAUUCCAGAAACCACAUGGCCAGGGGAUUUGAGUACAGUGAGACAACAAACAUGGCCUUUCUAACAGAGGCUUACAAUUACAUCAAUGGUUUGAGAGAGCCAGGUAUCAAUAGGCGAUCCCUUGUGACAACAGGCAAGAAAACUGCCUUCCUCGGCUUCCUUAUGGCAAUAAAAAGUUUUAAACACUUAUAUGAUGAGAUAGUGAGACCACAGACAUCACAGCUACGGUAUCUGUUGACCUACAACUUUAGCCAGGACCACCUUCAGCUGUUUUUUUGCAGCCAUUUGCUCUGCUAAUGGAUUUAACAACAAUCCCACAGCAAGGCAAUUUAAGUCAGCUUUCAAAAGAAUGGUAGCAAGACAUGCCAUCAGAGCUAGUGGCAACUGUUCUCCACUGGAUAGCACAGUGGUACUGGAGGCAACACCUUCUGAUAUGCUGGCAUUUCGGCAAAGUGACAUUCAGCCUGAAACUGAAGACAGAGAAAAAAACAUCACUGUAAGUCUUCCCAGCUUGUCCAUGUUCAAAGAGGCUGUGGUGGGGUACAUUGCAGGCUUUAUAGUUAAAACAACUAUGAAGAAGAUUCAGUGCACUACCUGUUUAUUAGCACUCAGUGCCAAGAGCUGUUCCCAAGAUGAACUUGGACACACACUGAUCGAUAUGAAUUCCCAAGGUGGACUUAUCAGUCCGUCAGACAGCGUCCUGAAAGUCUGCAAGACAGCUGAGAGACUUAUUCAUCAGCACACACUCACAAGGCCCAUCUCUGAAUUUGACACCAAAUUUAAAUCCAGGGUCUCCUUAAAGGUUCUGGAACUCCAUGGUGGUUCAGCAUUCAAGGAUCUUGAGGCACACAUGUUCAACCUAGAACCAUACAAUAAUCACAUCUUCAAACUCAUAAAGUGGAUUGCAGAAAGCUACACUAACAUCAGGCUCCACUUCAUUGCCAAGGAAACAUGUGCUGCAUCACACUCUAAACGGCUUAGUAAAACUCUGGGCAAGCUUGUACUGCAAAAUAAUCAGUAAGAUAUAAAGAUCAGUUCCUACUGCCAGCAACCCUCUCUGCAAGAGCCAAGCCCAUCCCUAGAAAUUAAAUUUUGACAAUUAUUAUCUUUUUUUUUUUUUAACAAUAUGUAACAAAGAUAAAAAAAAAGAAAAGAAAAAGAGAGAGAUGAGAACUGUAUUAUACAUACAUUAAAAGGGAUAUUUCACCCAAAAUGUAAAUUCUGUCAUCAUUUACUCAACCUCAUGUCCUUCCAAACCUGUAUUACGUUUCCUGUGGAACACAAAAGAUGAUUUUUUAAUGAAUGUUUUUGUCAAUAUAAUGAGCUGUUUUGCUCACCAUUUACUUUCCUUAUAUGGAAUACAAAAUACUGUUUUGGUUCUGCAAAAGAAAGUCACAUGGAUUUGGAAGGACAUGAGGUUGAGUAAAUGAUGACAGAAUUUACAUUUUUGGGUCAACUUUUCUAUUAACAUUAAAAGUUAUAACUAUCUGAAACACAGUAAUUUUAUAAGACUAUUGUUAUACUGCAUGUUGCAAAAGUAUCUACACUGCAAAUAAAAACAGAUAGUAUAAUAUUUUUUACUCAGUUAUUGUUGUCUAUUCUCUUACCUGUUAAAACAGCUCUUCAGUGAAGCCAGGCUGACCAAUUCCGGUUUUAUCUAACAUUGAAUGGGAUGAUUAUUUAAUAAUGCCCAUGAGUUGGGCUGUGUUCAGGACAGCACUGCAAAAAGUACAAAUCAAAUUAAUGCAAGCCCACAUUAUAUUCAUCAGUUGUAUCUCCGGUGUUGAUCUGUAAAUAGAUAUCCAACUUGACCAAAAGCUAACUUGGUGAGCUAUACUGUUAAUCAUUGUGGUUAUUUUCCUAAACUAACAUUAGCUACAUAGCUAAUAUUCAUUUAGCCUAAGGAAAAUAAUCACAAUGAAUGUUCAACGUAAACAAAAGUUACACCGCAUAAUUAUAUAUUCAGAAUUAACACUUUAAAGCCUGCAAAACAUAUGUUUGAAAAUGUCUACUGAUAUCUUACCUCAGUUUCUUAAACUUGUUUCUGCUGAGGUAACACGUGUGCCGCUGAAGGUAAUGCUGCUGCAGUAAAGAGUAACAUAACACUCUCGCACUUAGAAUAAGCAGGGGGAAAAAAUGAGAGUCCAAAUAAAUUACUAAUUACAUGUAUAGGAAGAUUGCAUUGUGAUGUUGUAUAUGCAUACUUUUUUUUUUUUUUUUUUUUUUUAGUGACUGGAUGGGUAAAAAUUUUAUUCUCACCAAAAACAGAUGAUUUCCCAUUAAGACCCAUAGGGAGUACAGAAUGUUCUUCACUGCUGUGACGUCAUGAGCAAUCCAGUUCUAAAAUCAGCAAAAAAAGAAUGUCCCUAUUUCAGGACACUGUAUUUUAAAGAUAAUUUAGUAAAAAUACAAAUGACUUUACAGAUCUUUAUUGUAAAGUGUUUAAACAAUGUUUUCCAUGCUUGUUCAAUGAACCAUAAACAGUUAAUGAACAUGCACCUGUGGAACGUUCGUUAAGACACUAACAGCUUACAGACAUUAGGCAAUUAAGGUCACAGUUAUAAAAACCUAGGACACUAAAGAGACCUUUCUACUGACUCUGAAAAACACCAAAAGAAAGAUGCCCAGGGUCCCUGCUCAUCUGCAUGAAUGUGCCUUAGGCAUGCUGCUGUAUGGAGGCAUGAGGACUGCAGAUGUGGCCAGGGCAAUAAAUUGCAAUGUCCGUACUGUGAGAUGCCUAAGACAGCAAUACAGGGAGACAGGAAGGAGAGCUGAUCAUCCUCGCACUGCACAGGAUCAGUACAUCCGAAUAUCACACCUGCAGGACAGUUACAGGAUGGCAACAGCAACUGCCCGAGUUACACCAGGAACGCACAAUCCCUCCAUCAGUGCUCAGACUGUCCGCAAUAGGCUGAGAGAGGCUGGACUGAGGGCUUGUAGGCCUGUUGUACGGCAGGUCCUUACCAGACGUCACCGGCAACAACGUCGCCUGUGGGCACAAACCCACUUUCGCUGGACCAGACAGGACUGGCAAAAAGUGCUCUUCACUGAUGAGUUGUAGUUUUGUCUCACCAGGGGUUAUGGUCAGACUCGCGUUUAUCGUCAAAGGAAUGAGCAUUACACUGAGGCCUGUACUCUGGAGUGUGAUCGAUUUGGAGGUGGAGUGUCCGUCAUGGUCUGGGGCGGUGUGUUACAGCAUCAUCGGAUUGAGCUUUAAUCUGAGGAGGUUGAUGACUGACCACUGACAGCUGAAAAACUGGACAAUUAAUGUUAGGUAAUUUAAAGUAGGACACUGAUAUGUUAGUAUAGUAAUCCUGAAUGUGUUUCUUGAAGCACCAUGUAAAUACAAUAGUUGCCUUUAUGAAUAUGGUAAUGAUAUAUCAAAUUACCAUGGUAGUACCAUGGUAUUCUUUGCAGUACUUUGAAGCACCAUGUAAAUACAGAAUGGUAUAAAUAUGGUAAUUGUAUGUCAAAGUAUCAUAGUAUUUCCAUCUGAUACAUCAGAUUUCAUAUUGUUAUUGCCCAGAUUUGCUUAAAUACACAAGGAAUUUGGCCUCUGAUCAGAAGCUUCCAGUACGUACAGAAAUACAACAGCUAGACAAAUAAUUACAGGAUAAGAUGAAUAGUAAAUGUUUUAUACAGGAAUGUGCAAAGAAAAUAAUGCUCAAAUGGCUGUGGAUUUGUAGAUGCAGCGAAAACCGAACAUGUAGUGCAUGUUCACUGAGUUACAAUAUUCCGCACCCCCUGGCAGGGCCCAGCGGAAGGGUAAGCCCCAGGGCCCCACGGUACCUUAAUGCGGCCCUGGUAGCUUGUAUAAAUAUGAAUUUACAUGUUUGUUUGUUUUUUUUCAUGCACAUACAUUUUAUAUUGCACCAUGCUGUAUACUUGUAUACUGUAUUGCGCUAUAUAGUAUUGUACUAUGCUAUACCAUGGCUUUGAUAAACAUCAUGUCAAAAAGUCUUUUAGAUGUUUUGUUUACCCUUCCUAAGGUUUUUGACUCCUGAUUUAGCCUAGGCCAGGGGUUUUCAGACUUAUUAAUUGAAGGACUCCAAAUGUGAUGCUUCUCUUUUCAGGGAACCACUUCCUAAAAUAUAAAGGCAGUGUACAUUUUUAUGUAGGCUAAACCGACCCAUUUUGUACUCUCGUCUGAUGUUAAAUUAUUACAUUAUUUUUUAUACUGAGCCAAAACAGAUUAUUAAAAUGUCAUGUGGCAAAUAUUCAAAUAGUUAAUUUAUACAUUUUUACCCAAUAUUAGUAUAUUAGAGAAAUAUAAUUUUUAUAUGUAUAUUAUAUUUAUAUAUUAAUAUUUGUAUAGAAUUUUUUUUUUCUUUCUUUUUUUUUGCAGUUAUUAUUGUUCCAAAGCGGCUUUACAGGAAAUAUUGCCGUUCAGGAAAUAUUGCUGUUCAACCAGUGAACAAGCUAAGAACAACAGUGACGAUGAAAAAAAAAAAAUCCUUAGAAAGUUAAAAUAUAUACAAUAUGUACAAUAAGUAUGUAUAUGUUCAUACAUAUUUAUAAACAUAUAGUAUAUGUUGUAAGGAAAAAGAAAUGAACACUUGAAAAUAUUUUUUUUUUUUUUUGCAGAUUGUUUUAUUUAUUUUUGUACUUUUAUAGAUUUUGUAAAAUCUUUUAAUUUUCUCUCAAAAUUCCUGGGCCCCCAUC